RNAcentral lists this long non-coding RNA (1879 nucleotides) under Canis lupus familiaris (dog). RNAcentral describes it as "lncRNA (ENSCAFG00845011032.1)". The record is from RNAcentral. Lineage: Eukaryota; Metazoa; Chordata; Mammalia; Carnivora; Canidae.
UUUCUGAAGGCAGGGGGCACUGCUUUUAAGGCGACACCAAUCAGAAACGAAACGUUCCUUCCACGAGGCACGCGUGUGAAUCCUUUCCAUUCCCCUUUGCCCUCCAUCGUGUGUUCCGGUGGGUCCUCCCACCUGCGAGUCCCAUUUCCAGAGCCUCCCGGGGGAAGAACCCGCUCUCUGCGGCUCCUCCGCGGAGUCAGGGGCAGGAGCGGGCGAGGCCCGGGCAGCCACUGCCCCCGAAAGGAGACACGCCAGUCUUGGCGCCGCCGGAGCCGAGGGAGCCCAGGGAGCCGAGGGAGCGGAGUCCAGCUCCGUCCGAAGAAUUAGGGAGACGUGAGGCCCAACAGCGGUCUCAGAACUGGAGGGCCACGCGAGCGGGAGCACAGAAGUCCACCGUUCUUACGGAGGCAGUCACCGAACCUUACGGGAAGGAAAGGGCCCCUCCCGUGGUUUGAGCGCAGCCACGGCCAAGCGCAUCUCCACUCAGAGGGAAGGGGGGAGAAAGGGCAAGCGCCCGUCCGGGAGAUCGGCGGGGGAAACACGGGGCGGUAAAGUCGUGAAGGCUCCGAGCCGAUGAAGAACCGCGUCUUCCCGGCCCACCUCCCGAGCGCUCUAAACCGUCUCGCCUCCAUUCCAGUGUUACCAGUGAUGUCAGAAGUCACACAGCGACCGUGCUGCUGCCAAGCCGUGAGCUCACUCUCAUUACACACCAGCAAUACAUAAAGCUCCAGUUUCAGCCUGAUGAAAAGAAUGUAGGAUUUGACAAGCUUCUAACUACAAAUUUAGCCGCUCAAGAGGAAAAGCUUGGAGGCUGGUUUAAGAAUUUAGAAUUAGAAUAAGCCACUGUUCGAGGCCUGCAACCUCAGGCCUCGGCCCAGCGCCAGCAUCCUCAGCUAGAUCGGUCCUAUUGCCAGGAGGCCUGAGGGGAGUGUCAGAGAGGAGCAGCACCUGCAUCCGUGGGACACAAGCACCAUCCGCGGACCUCUCAAGGACCAUCCAAAAUGACUGCAUUUUACAAACUUGUCUUCUAGUAUUCGGUGCUUCUGGUCAUCACUCCGUCCUUGCACUCCACACCACCCCCCAACCCCCAGUGCAGCCUGACACCCCAGACAGCCAGAGACAGAGCAGGGUAGACCCACCAAAGCUUCUGGUAGUUCUUCAGCCCAGACCCAGUGAAAGCCACACAGCAUCUAGUGGACGCUUUUUUAAAAAGCUCAGAUAAAUAGCUCAGAUACUAUAAAAUACCACAGAAAGAAAUGUCAAAGCCCCAAUCCUUCGCCUAUAUACAUUAAGCUACUUAAAAGUGGCAUGGCCUCUAGAAAACCCUAUUAUUGACUGAAUUUUCUUCACUGUGAUGGGAAUAAAGACUAUAUGUGUAGCAAAAAAAUAUUUUCACAUGUAGGACUCAAAAUAUUCUUGCAGCAUAGAACAUUCCAAGCCAUUUCCUUAUAUGCAAAACAGGUUUUUUAAAAAGCAGGAAAACAUUGACAAUAUUCCUAAAUAUUGUCUGCAAAUACUAAUAGUGUUCUAUUCCUGUGUUGUGAUUUGGAUUUUAAUUUGUCACAAUAGCAUGUUUCUAUAGUUGUAUGAGAAGACAUGUGUGUUUGGCCUUUCUCUUCUAAAAUGAAUAAAACCUGAAUUUUGUGUAUUUUAAAUCUUAAAAGUAAAAUGUUCUUCAAAUAAUAGGAGACUAUCUUUGAAAAACAAGUGCCUGACCAGCACUUAAAGCAGUAAAACUGAUGUUAAAAGAUGUCACCUACUUAGAUUACAAGUUAGGCACCAAGUGUUCCAAACACAAGGAAAAAAAAUUCCACUCCAGGAGGAGCCAGAAAGAGUCCCUAGAACCCAAUGUUUGUCAAAAAAAAAAAAAAAAAAAAAA